GUGAGGGAAAGGCGAAAAGAACCCCGGCGAGGGGAGUGAAAAAGAACCUGAAACCGUGUACGUACAAGCAGUGGGAGCACAGAGCAAUCUGUGUGACUGCGUACCUUUUGUAUAAUGGGUCAGCGACUUAUAUUCUGUAGCAAGGUUAACCGAAUAGGGGAGCCGAAGGGAAACCGAGUCUUAACUGGGCGUUAAGUUGCAGGGUAUAGACCCGAAACCCGGUGAUCUAGCCAUGGGCAGGUUGAAGGUUGGGUAACACUAACUGGAGGACCGAACCGACUAAUGUUGAAAAAUUAGCGGAUGACUUGUGGCUGGGGGUGAAAGGCCAAUCAAACCGGGAGAUAGCUGGUUCUCCCCGAAAGCUAUUUAGGUAGCGCCUCGUGAAUUCAUCUCCGGGGGUAGAGCACUGUUUCGGCAAGGGGGUCAUCCCGACUUACCAACCCGAUGCAAACUGCGAAUACCGGAGAAUGUUAUCACGGGAGACACACGGCGGGUGCUAACGUCCGUCGUGAAGAGGGAAACAACCCAGACCGCCAGCUAAGGUCCCAAAGUCAUGGUUAAGUGGGAAACGAUGUGGGAAGGCCCAGACAGCCAGGAUGUUGGCUUAGAAGCAGCCAUCAUUUAAAGAAAGCGUAAUAGCUCACUGGUCGAGUCGGCCUGCGCGGAAGAUGUAACGGGGCUAAACCAUG
This 689-nucleotide ribosomal RNA is filed under the name Escherichia coli. RNAcentral describes it as "partial 23S ribosomal RNA". It matches the Rfam family "Bacterial large subunit ribosomal RNA", at positions 503 to 1191 of the family's 2925-position model. The record is from RNAcentral. Lineage: Bacteria; Pseudomonadati; Pseudomonadota; Gammaproteobacteria; Enterobacterales; Enterobacteriaceae.